CUACCGCACCCUUCCCUUCUCUAUCCGUCCGUGCCGCCAUCCCCUCCCUCCCUUUCGUGGUGCCGCACCUCCCCCUCCACCUCCUCACUCGAUAGCACCCAACACCGCCACCUCCCUUGUGCUGGGGAUGGGACCGCCACCGCCGCCGCCAGGUCUCCUCCGUGGCUCCGCCUUGGGAUGCGGUGUCGCUCUCCCCUGCGCUUUUAACUCACAAGUCGCAACGCCAGACUCGCAUCCGUCGCUGCUACAUCCUCCCUCUCCCCACCGGCACUGGAUCCUCCAUCCGCCGCUGCUCUUUCUUUCUAGCCGCAAGGUGGAGGGAUCCAUCUGGGCUCAUUCCUUCCCGCGUAGGCAUGCAUGAAGGUAUGGAGUGGAUGGAAAAGUGGAUAUAACUUGAAGAAGAAAAGAUUUAUUUUGUAGUCCCGGGUGUCUUGCAGCUCGAUGCGGCAAGGAGCCGAGGAGGAGGAGGGCUCGACCGAGUGCUGGAGCAGCUCGAGCUCCAAGGAGGGGGAGGUGGUGCCUCCCCCCUUUAUCAUCAGGAAGCAUCACUAAUUUUUUCCUGCAUACUUCAAGAAUCACUGUUUGCCUAACUUCAUAGGUUGUAUUGACUUCAGUUAAUUCUUAGAAAUAUUAAUCAUAGUAAAGUAUUGUUGAGAUCAAUAGAUUUUUAUGAACUCUGAACAUAUAAUCAGCUUUCCCUUUUUACUAGCUCAAGCUUUCAGAGCCGCAGGCAGAGAGCUCAACGUCUACCUCAACGACUACAAGGGCGAGUGGAAGGCUCAUUCGAUUGACAUCAGGUGCCAGGACAAGGGAGGGUUGCUGGGUUCGGCCUCACUUUUGGAUGUCGUCCCUGACCUGCGGGAUAAAACUGAUCAUAUAAAGUUGGGAACGGAACAGAUGGAGGAGCUGAUACAGAUGAAUAGAGAUCCAAGAAGAAAAUUGUUCCUGUGUUGUUUUGGGAUGCAUCAAUUUAGCUCUUGUGUAACAGAGAUCCAAGAAGAAAAUUGUUCCUGUGUUGUUUUGGGAUGCAUCAAUUUAGCUCUUGUGUUGUGGGGCAUUCUUUUGAUUAUAAUGAAGUAGAUUGAUGUACAGUGGGAUGCAUCAAUUUAGCUCUUGUGCUGUGGGGCAUUCUUUCGAUUGUAAUGAAGUGGAUUGAUGUA
This is a long non-coding RNA of Setaria italica (foxtail millet), 1160 nucleotides long. RefSeq lists it as uncharacterized. The transcript has 4 exons. The record is from RefSeq and is a predicted model, not a curated record. NCBI's taxonomy places the organism in Eukaryota, Viridiplantae, Streptophyta, Magnoliopsida, Poales, Poaceae.